GAUGAACGCUGGCGGCGUGCCUAAUACAUGCAAGUCGAGCGAACGGACGAUAAGCUUGCUUCUCUGAUGUUAGCGGCGCACGGGUGAGUAACACGUGGAUAACCUACUUAUAAGACUGGGAUAACUUCGGGACACCGUAGCUAAUACCGGAUAAUAUUUUGAACCGCAUGGUUCAAAAGUGAAAGACGGUCUUGCUGUCACUUAUAGAUGGAUCCGCGCUGCAUUAGCUAGUUGGUAGGGUAACGGCUUACGAAGGCAACGAUGCAUAUCCGACCUGUGAGGGGGAUCGGCCACACUGGAAGUGAGCCGGGGUCCAGAGUCCUACGGGAGGCAGCAGACGGGAAUCUUCCGCAAUGGUCGAGAGCCUGACGGAGCGGCGCCGCGUGAGUGAUGACGGUCUUCGGAGCGUAAAACUCGGUUAUUAGGGAAGAACAUAUGUGUAAGUAACUGUGCACAUCUUGACGGUACCGAAUCAGAAAGCCACGGCUAACUACGUG
RNAcentral lists this ribosomal RNA (497 nucleotides) under uncultured bacterium. RNAcentral's name for it is "partial 16S ribosomal RNA". It matches the Rfam family "Bacterial small subunit ribosomal RNA", at positions 28 to 507 of the family's 1533-position model. The record is from RNAcentral.